This is a long non-coding RNA of Alosa sapidissima (American shad), 103 nucleotides long. RefSeq lists it as uncharacterized. The record is from RefSeq and is a predicted model, not a curated record. NCBI's taxonomy places the organism in Eukaryota, Metazoa, Chordata, Actinopteri, Clupeiformes, Clupeidae. The transcript is spliced from 3 exons.
GCUGAGUUACAUUUCCUGUAUGUUUUGUUUGGUACUUGGUUAAAAUAUAAUGUACGUUGUUUUGGACAAAAGCGUCUGCUAAUAAUUUUAAAUAUAAACAUAA